UCCCGCGAGACACUAACACCACCACCCCCCACCUUCUGUCUCUGUGCAUCUGACUCUGGGCCCCUCCGAUGAGCGGAAUCACCCGGUGUCUGUCUGUGUCUGGCUUGUUUCACGCGGCCUCAUGUCCUCCAGGUUCGUCCACGGUGUAGCACGUUUUGUGUUUUCGUGUGUUUUUUAAAGUCUCUCUCCCACAGGAGUGGGGCUCCGUGAGGGCAGGGCUUUGGGUUGGUUCAUUCACUGAAGCAUCCCCAGGGCCCGGAAGCUCCUGGCGCCCAGCAGGCGCUGAAUGAACAAAUGAACUCAGGAGUGAAUGAACGCGGGAAGGAAUGAAUGAACAUACGAAUGAAUGAUCUCAGGGGUGAACGAACUUAUGAACAAAGACACUGCAGAGACAUGGCACAUCUGUGGAAGAGUUAUCACACGGACACAGAGUCCCCAGCAGGGGACAUAACAGGGUGCCCCAGAGCCUCACGGUGGCCCCGUGCUGGGCGUGGCGGCCAGGACAGCCGGAGGCUCCUCCUCUCUGAAAACUCAUUUACUCGGGUUUCUGGGCCAGAGGAGCUUGGAAAGUCAAAGUCAGGUGAGCCCCUCGGCGCACACACGCGAGCCUGACGGGGCGACAGUGCUCCAGCCCAGCCACCCUGCC
This is a long non-coding RNA of Miniopterus natalensis, 646 nucleotides long. RefSeq lists it as uncharacterized. NCBI's taxonomy places the organism in Eukaryota, Metazoa, Chordata, Mammalia, Chiroptera, Miniopteridae. The record is from RefSeq and is a predicted model, not a curated record.